This 478-nucleotide ribosomal RNA is filed under the name uncultured bacterium. RNAcentral describes it as "partial 16S ribosomal RNA". It matches the Rfam family "Bacterial small subunit ribosomal RNA", at positions 28 to 507 of the family's 1533-position model. The record is from RNAcentral.
GAUGAACGCUGGCGGCGUGCUUAACACAUGCAAGUCGAACGGGAAUUCUCUUAUUGAGACUGCGGUCGAUUUAACUAAAUUCUAGUGGAGGACGGGGGAGUAACGCGUGGGUAACCUGCCUUAUACAGGGGGAUAACAGUCAGAAAUGGCUGCUACUACCGCAUCAGCGCACAGAGCUGAAUGGCUCAGCGUGAAGAACUCCGGUGGCAUAGGAUGGACCCGCGUUGGGUUAGCUGGUUGGUGGGGUAACGGCCCACCAAGGCGACGAUCCAUGGCCGGCCUGAGAGGGUGAACGGCCACGUUGGGACUGAGGCACAGCCCAGACUCCUACGGGAGGCAGCAGUGGGGAAUAUUGCACAAUGGGGCAAACCCUGAUGCAGCGGCGCCGCGUGAAGGAAGAAGUAUCUCGGUAUGUAAACUUCUAUCAGCAGGGAAGAUAGUGACGGUACCUGACUAAGAAGCCCCGGCUAACUACGUG